AUCCUACGGGGGGCAGCAGUGGGGAAUAUUGCACAAUGGGGGGAACCCUGAUGCAGCAAUGCCGCGUGAAGGAUGAAGGUUUUCGGAUUGUAAACUUCUUUUGUACGGGACGAAGAAAGUGACGGUACCGUAAGAAUAAGCCACGGCUAACUACGUGCCAGCAGCCGCGGUAAUACGUAGGUGGCAAGCGUUAUCCGGAUUUAUUGGGUGUAAAGGGCGUGUAGGCGGGAGCGCAAGUCAGAUGUGAAAACUCAGGGCUCAACCCUGAGCCUGCAUUUGAAACUGUGUUUCUUGAGUGCUGGAGG
Molecule: ribosomal RNA, 305 nt
Filed under: uncultured bacterium
Lineage: Bacteria
Description: bacterial SSU rRNA
Rfam family: Bacterial small subunit ribosomal RNA
Source: RNAcentral